CAAGGGAUAGUUUAAUUAAAAAUAUUAGUUUUGGAGAUUAAUGCUGGAGGAAAACUCUUCCCUUGA
Molecule: transfer RNA, 66 nt
Filed under: Cryptocephalus lividimanus
Lineage: Eukaryota; Metazoa; Arthropoda; Insecta; Coleoptera; Chrysomelidae
Description: tRNA-Pro
Source: RNAcentral